This 865-nucleotide long non-coding RNA is filed under the name Bos indicus x Bos taurus (hybrid cattle). RNAcentral's name for it is "lncRNA (ENSBIXG00005030045.1)". Lineage: Eukaryota; Metazoa; Chordata; Mammalia; Artiodactyla; Bovidae. The record is from RNAcentral.
AUGGAACCACAGCAGGUCACCACUGGGCCCCCAGGGGGCUCUCUGGGGCAGACCUCCGCUCCAGGCCACUCGGACACCUUGUCGCCCAAGCCUGCAGGGCUCGCUGCAGCUCCCGGCCUUUGUCCAGCUGGGUUCCCUGGGUCGCAAGGGCCUGCACAGAGACCCGGCCGCACUCUUCCCACGGGAGGCCUUUCCAUCCUCACUGUCUCCGCCAGGCCCCCAGCCCUGCGUGUGUUUUCUCUCUGUAAUGCUCCCUGGUGCUCUAUGGUGUGUGUACCACAUGCUCAACACUGCUGGGGGCUGGGCUCUUCCUGUUGCCCCCGUUCUGCCCGCAGCUGGACAAGGCAGCCGCCCUCUCACUCAUCACAGGUGGAAACCCAAGUCGGAGCCUGCAGGUUCCUGACCACCCAGCAGUGGGGGCUGGGCUCACCUUCGAUCCUGACUCUUGCCCCAGCACUUUCUGCUCAGGGCUGCCCACUUGGGCCUUCUGAUAAAGGAAGAGAAUGAAGGAGGCCGAGGGAGCAGACCCAGCUCUGAGGAAGCAGACACCCAGUGAAUCCUAAAAGGAAUCAACCCUGAUUAUUCAUUGGAAGGACUGACUGAUGCUGUAGAUGAAGCUUUGAUACUUUGGCCACCUGGUACAAAGAGCCGACUCACUGGAAAAGUCCCUGAUGCUGGGAAAGAUUGAAGGCAGGAGGAGAAGGGGAUGACAGAGGACAAGAUGGUUGGAUGUCAUCACUGACUCAAUGGAAAUGAGUUUGAGCAGGCUCUGGGAGCUGGUGAUAAACAGGAAGGCCUGGCGUGCUGCAUUCCAUGGGGUUGCAAAGAGUCUGACAUGACUGCGCGACUGAACAACAAUCAGGCC